RNAcentral lists this small RNA (590 nucleotides) under Histoplasma capsulatum var. duboisii H88. RNAcentral describes it as "Histoplasma capsulatum H88 hypothetical RNA". Lineage: Eukaryota; Fungi; Ascomycota; Eurotiomycetes; Onygenales; Ajellomycetaceae. The record is from RNAcentral.
GCUGAUGUUUCGUGACAGGAACGAGGGUAUACGGGAUUGAAUGGAAGGAGAUAGGGAAAUUUAUAUUUUAGCUUUCACUGUUUGCUGCCGUUUCGUCCCAAAAUCUAUUUUACAAGAAACGAUUUGAACGAUGUCGUACUCAGAUCCACGACUUCACUGCCUAAGGGUUGUAAAAAAAAAAAAAGAAUCAAAACAAAAAAAGAAGAAAGGUGAAGAGAAGAGAAAACGAAGGGGAAAAAAGAACAAAUAGAGGGGGAUAAUAAUCCAGGACAACGAACAAAGGUAACAAAGGAGAGCCAAAAUCCCCUCCAUGAAAAAUGAAAAAUAUCGAGAUAAAGAUAAAUAAUGGUGAAUAUGAGAGACAGAAGAUAUAACUGCUAAAGUGGACAAAAAGAAGAGGUAGAAAUAAAGGAGAAAAAAAAGAUGGAUUGUGAUAAUCCAAUGAAAUAGAGAACAUGGAAAUAGAACCGGAGACAAAAGAAAUGAGAUGAAUUGUCCGUUAAAGAAGAGCCGACGAAAAAUGCCAAUAAACGGUCUCCAGCCCAGGAUGCCAGCCAAAACAAAAGGAAAUGUGUAUUUUUUGAGUCCAG